This 497-nucleotide ribosomal RNA is filed under the name uncultured bacterium. Its description in RNAcentral is "partial 16S ribosomal RNA". It matches the Rfam family "Bacterial small subunit ribosomal RNA", at positions 28 to 507 of the family's 1533-position model. The record is from RNAcentral.
GAUGAACGCUGGCGGCGUGCCUAAUACAUGCAAGUCGAGCGAACGGACGAGAAGCUUGCUUCUCUGAUGUUAGCGGCGGACGGGUGAGUAACACGUGGAUAACCUACCUAUAAGACUGGGAUAACUUCGGGAAACCGGAACUAAUACCGGAUAAUAUUUUGAACCGCAUGGUUCAAAAGUGAAAGACGGUCUUGCUGUCACUUAUAGAUGGAUCGGCGCUGCAUUAGCUAGUUGGUAAGGUAACGGCUUACCAAGGCAACGAUGCAUAGCCGACCUGAGAGGGUGAUCGGCCACACUGGAACUGAGACACGGUCCAGACUCCUACGGGAGGCAGCAGUAGGGAAUCUUCCGCAAUGGGCGAAAGCCUGACGGAGCAACGCCGCGUGAGUGAUGAAGGUCUUCGGAUCGUAAAACUCUGUUAUUAGGGAAGAACAUAUGUGUAAGUAACUGUGCACAUCUUGACGGUACCUAAUCAGAAAGCCACGGCUAACUACGUG